RNAcentral lists this ribosomal RNA (406 nucleotides) under uncultured bacterium. RNAcentral's name for it is "bacterial SSU rRNA". It matches the Rfam family "Bacterial small subunit ribosomal RNA", at positions 28 to 429 of the family's 1533-position model. The record is from RNAcentral.
GAUGAACGCUAGCGGCAGGCCUAAUACAUGCAAGUCGAACGGUAAGGCCCUUUCGGGGGUACACGAGUGGCGGACGGGUGCGUAACGCGUAUGCAACAUGCCUUCCAGCGGGGGAUAUACCAGGGAAACUUGGCGCAAUACCCCAUAGAAUUACGGGACCGCAUGGUCUUGUGAUUAAAACUCCGGUGCUGGGAGAUUGGCAUGCGUGACAUUAGCUAGUUGGCGGGGUAACGGCCCACCAAGGCGACGAUGUCUAGCUGGUCUGAGAGGAUGAUCAGCCACACUGGGACUGAGACACGGCCCAGACUCCUACGGGAGGCAGCAGUAGGGAAGUAUUGGACAAUGGGGGGAAACCCUGGAUCCAGCCAUGCCGCGUGAGGGAAGAAGGGUCCUCUGGAUUGGUAAA